AGCAGCUCACCCGUGUGUCAGUGUUUAGUGUCCAGGUGUGGAGUGGAGAUUCUUCUUCUUCUGCUGUUUUUGCAGAAACUGUUCUGGUGGUGAGCUGUUAGGGCUGCUCGUCCUGCCCCUCUGCUUCUAUAAAACCUCCUGAAUUACUGCAGACGGAGCGACUCCCUUUGAGCUAACUGAAGAUCAGAGACCUUCAUCCACCUGAGCAGUUUUGGAAGAAAGCAGUGAAGAUGAAAGUGCUGUCCUGUAUGAUGUUCGCCUUCCUGCUGUCAGCUGGAGCCAGUCUGACUCAGGGCCAGCUGAAUCGUAUUGUAGAAAAAAUCAGGAACGAAUACCGGAUUGAUGGACAGUUCUGUCUGGCUGCAGUCUUCCCACCAGGACUGGACCCAAACACUGAUGUUUUUAAGAACGACCGCUUUCAGGCUGUUUCUCCCGUCAUUGGAGAAAGUAGCUCAGACAAUAACCUUCGUGGCGUGUAUGCCAGCCAAAGGCUGAUUGUAGCCAGACCAACAUUACCAGUAAACGGACGAAGUGGAGAGCAUGCAGAACGUCGUGUUCUGCAAGCCCUGAGAAAUCAGCUGAAAUCCCAGAACAUCCAGGGAAGUGACCUCCUCAUC
Molecule: long non-coding RNA, 617 nt
Organism: Archocentrus centrarchus (flier cichlid)
Lineage: Eukaryota; Metazoa; Chordata; Actinopteri; Cichliformes; Cichlidae
Exons: 5
Source: RefSeq, a predicted model, not a curated record